Molecule: ribosomal RNA, 263 nt
Filed under: Pseudomonas aeruginosa
Lineage: Bacteria; Pseudomonadati; Pseudomonadota; Gammaproteobacteria; Pseudomonadales; Pseudomonadaceae
Also listed under: 1 other name
Description: partial 16S ribosomal RNA
Rfam family: Bacterial small subunit ribosomal RNA
Source: RNAcentral
GAACUGAAGAGUUUGAUCAUGGCUCAGAUUGAACGCUGGCGGCAGGCCUAACACAUGCAAGUCGAGCGGAUGAAGGGAGCUUGCUCCUGGAUUCAGCGGCGGACGGGUGAGUAAUGCCUAGGAAUCUGCCUGGUAGUGGGGGAUAACGUCCGGAAACGGGCGCUAAUACCGCAUACGUCCUGAGGGAGAAAGUGGGGGAUCUUCGGACCUCACGCUAUCAGAUGAGCCUAGGUCGGAUUAGCUAGUUGGUGGGGUAAAGGCCU